Molecule: long non-coding RNA, 662 nt
Organism: Rosa rugosa (rugosa rose)
Lineage: Eukaryota; Viridiplantae; Streptophyta; Magnoliopsida; Rosales; Rosaceae
Exons: 3
Source: RefSeq, a predicted model, not a curated record
GACCUAAACUUCUCUCAUUCUCAGCCGCUGUGCCUCCAUUCUCUCCAUCACUCGAAACUUUUCUCACAUCGCUCCUCAUUCACGACUCACAGUCUCACAUCGAUCUUUUGAUCCUCUCCCUUCAACUCACUUUCUUCGUGUUCCUCUUGAUAGAAGGGCAUUCUUGCAGCCUUGCAAACACAUAUAUGAGAAUUACUCGUUGCUUGAGGAUUUGACAGCUCAAGAAGGUACUGAAGCUGCACCAAGGAAGAAGGGAGCUGCAGGUUCCGCUUAAGUCUGUGAGCUAUUCUACUAAAGUUCCUUAGUAAUUUACUAGCUGUGAGGCUCAGACUAACAGCUUUGAUAAAAUAAAUAAAUAAAAAAACAUGUAAUUCAUUUAAACAGCUUUGAUAUUUACCACCAUGCUCUCCUGGACAAUUUCUCUACUGCCCGAGACUGGCUGCUAAUGAGUCACCUGCAAUGGCUUUGUUAUUUGGCUUUAGUCAAAUUUGAAUUUGACAUAUGACAUGGCAAAUUUGAUAUAGCAACAUUUUGACUAUUUUUAGCUUCAAUGGAGAUGUCAAAUUUGAAUAUUACUUUAAUAUAUAAAAUUUUAUUUAUGUUGUUUUUCCUUUUUUUUAAUUUUUUUUUUUAUCUUGUAAUCAAAGAUCAUACAAUGAAUG